Small nucleolar RNA from Raphanus sativus (radish), 130 nucleotides. Lineage: Eukaryota; Viridiplantae; Streptophyta; Magnoliopsida; Brassicales; Brassicaceae. The record is from RefSeq and is a predicted model, not a curated record.
AUCCCAGCUGAGUUAGUUAGAUACUUAUCUGAUUCAUGGGAGGCCAAAACCAACGUUGCAAGUUUCGCUGAUAAUACCUUCUUUUUCUUUAACUCCAGAAGGUGUUUUAUUAGUAACUUCGCUUACAUUU